RNAcentral lists this unclassified non-coding RNA (209 nucleotides) under Hevea brasiliensis (rubber tree). The record is from RNAcentral. Lineage: Eukaryota; Viridiplantae; Streptophyta; Magnoliopsida; Malpighiales; Euphorbiaceae.
GUUCAGUCUGGAAAAUGUGCCUACGUGUAAGUUUAUCAGCUUGGGCCUUACUGUUGGAGCCAUUGCUGCUGUUCUCCCUCACAAGGACCUUGUAGUUUCUAUCCUCUUCCGUCUUUCCCUCAACCAUAACCAGGUGCUUUUCUGUUUGCAUUAUGGGUUAUCAGAUUUGCAAUUUUUCUUUUUACCUCGCUUCCUGGCUUGCAUGAGUG